AUCCAGCUGACCAGUCCCAAAUAGGACGAAAUGCGCAUGCUGGCUGGAU
Non-coding RNA from Trichobilharzia regenti, 49 nucleotides. NCBI's taxonomy places the organism in Eukaryota, Metazoa, Platyhelminthes, Trematoda, Strigeidida, Schistosomatidae. The record is from Rfam.